Molecule: transfer RNA, 464 nt
Filed under: uncultured Synechococcus sp.
Lineage: Bacteria; Bacillati; Cyanobacteriota; Cyanophyceae; Synechococcales; Synechococcaceae
Description: partial 16S-23S ribosomal RNA intergenic spacer
Rfam family: tRNA (bases 345-417)
Source: RNAcentral
CAGGGAGACAAAACCUGAUCGUGAUGUCUGAGUAUUUUAAUCUCAGGCCAUGAUCCUGUCAUCUCGAAGGUCGAUCGGUACCUCAAUUUCAAGGAUCAGAUGAUCAGCUAACUUGUUUAGUCGAUCAUGCUGAGAACUUGAUCUUUAGUUCCUAAACGUUGUCUAGGUCACCCCAUAGAGGGUUCACUUCCUGGGCCAUUAGCUCAGGUGGUUAGAGCGCACCCCUGAUAAGGGUGAGGUCCCUGGUUCAAGUCCAGGAUGGCCCAUUCAAACUCAGUUUGAUUUCAACGCCUUGAUAAGUCAUUGACUUGUCUUUUAAAGAGGAUUGAGAUGAGACUGGUCUUGGGGGUUUAGCUCAGUUGGUAGAGCGCCUGCUUUGCAAGCAGGAUGUCAGCGGUUCGAGUCCGCUAACCUCCACUAACAUCUGAACUCCAAACCAGGAAGCGAUUCUUGGCUGGUGACGU